Molecule: ribosomal RNA, 465 nt
Filed under: uncultured bacterium
Lineage: Bacteria
Description: partial 16S ribosomal RNA
Rfam family: Bacterial small subunit ribosomal RNA
Source: RNAcentral
CCUACGGGGGGCAGCAGUGGGGAAUAUUGCGCAAUGGGCGAAAGCCUGACGCAGCGACGCCGCGUGAGGGAUGAAGGUCUUCGGAUCGUAAACCUCUGUCAGCAGGGAAGAACGGUCACUGUGCUAAUCAGCAGUGAAUUGACGGUACCUGCAAAGGAAGCACCGGCUAACUCCGUGCCAGCAGCCGCGGUAAUACGGAGGGUGCGAGCGUUAAUCGGAAUUACUGGGCGUAAAGCGCUCGUAGGCGGUAUGUCAAGUCAAGGGUGAAAUCCCCGCGCUCAACGUGGGAACUGCCUUUGAAACUGGCAGACUGGAGUGUGUGAGAGGAUAGUGGAAUUCGAGGUGUAGGAGUGAAAUCCGUAGAUAUCUGGAGGAACAUCAGUGGCGAAGGCGACUAUCUGGCACAUAACUGACGCUGAGGAGCGAAAGCGUGGGUAGCAAACAGGAUUAGAUACCCUAGUAGUC